Sarcophilus harrisii (Tasmanian devil) is the source of this 107-nucleotide small nuclear RNA. Lineage: Eukaryota; Metazoa; Chordata; Mammalia; Dasyuromorphia; Dasyuridae. The record is from Ensembl.
GUGCUCGCUUCAGCAGCACAUAUACUCAAAUUGGAAUGGUACAGAGAAGAUUAUCAAGGCUUCUGUACAAGGAUGACAUGCAAAUUCACGAAGCAUUCUAUAUUUAA